This is a non-coding RNA of Pangasianodon gigas (Mekong giant catfish), 72 nucleotides long. The record is from the annotation of a GenBank genome assembly. Lineage: Eukaryota; Metazoa; Chordata; Actinopteri; Siluriformes; Pangasiidae.
UCCCUGGAAGACUAGUGGUUAGGCCACAGCACUCUCACCUCUGUGGUCCGCAUUCGAUUCCUGGCCAGGGAA